GCCGGGGCCGCAAGGAGCCCGGAGCCGCCGCCGCCACCGCUCCAGGCAUCGCGCUGACAGGGCAACGGCCCGGAUCACGCAGCCCCGAGGGCCGCUCGCAGCCUUCUCCUCAGCCCUCGCGGGGCUGCACGCACGGGAGAACCCGGCAGCUGCAAGCAGGGCCGGGACCCCUGCUUCUGGGGACCAGGGUAAAGAGAAAGGGCCUCGAGGUGCUGGCGCUCCUCGGAGUCCGCGCCACCGCAAACGCCGCCGCCGCCGCCGCCGCUUCUACCCACUCCUCACUCCGAAUGGCAACUAAUUCGCCCCAGCCGCACCCCGCCCCCGGCACCGCCUCCCAGCGCCCAGGACCCGGCAGCUGCCGCAGCGAGCAUUUCCAUUGGCUUAGGCGCUCCCCACCAGAACUCGAGUGAUUGGUUCUGGAGUAGGAGUGAGCGAAGCAGUGUCCAAUGACAAUGGUGCCUCCUACUCUGAAGGCGGGGCGUGAGGGGUGGCGGCGUGGGGUGGGGGCUGUGCGCGCAGGGAGGAGCGUAAAAGUUGACAGCCUUGAGCAUGUGACACCUUCUGCCAUGAGAUGAUGCUACAAGAAGAAUCUCACCGACUGCUGGCACCUUGAUACUGGACUUCACAGCCUCCAGAAUUGUGAGCCAAUGUCUUUCAAACAUUGAUAAUUACAGCUUUCAGACUCAAAGCCUACAAAUUCAUAAUCCAUACAGAUGACAUACUAAAAUCUACUCAAACUUGUAAGUCUGAAGACAAUUUCAGCACUAUUGGACUUACAUUAAGAGAAAACUGC
Molecule: long non-coding RNA, 793 nt
Filed under: Pan troglodytes (chimpanzee)
Lineage: Eukaryota; Metazoa; Chordata; Mammalia; Primates; Hominidae
Description: long non-coding RNA NONPTRT016020
Source: RNAcentral